RNAcentral lists this long non-coding RNA (730 nucleotides) under Marmota monax (woodchuck). The record is from RNAcentral. Lineage: Eukaryota; Metazoa; Chordata; Mammalia; Rodentia; Sciuridae.
GGCAGUAUUUCAAAGGAGUAAGCAAACCCAGACUGCUAGCUUGUAAUAAUUUUUUUCUUGAAACAGCUAUAAGACCUACACAGGAGAUCCCAGUGUCUCUCUCAUGAGAGGCUGGUGAAUCUUCUACCUAUAUGAGAAGCCGGAAGCUUAUGCUUCUCAUUUCAGGUAGGAUACAUAUUCCUUAUUCUGGGUGCUGGAUGUUCCUUAGUAAUGUGAGGAAAGUCAUGAUUAUCAUUUGAACAGAGAAGGUCUGUAAAGCAUAUAUUUAAACCCUGGUUGUACUGCUCUGUGUGAAAGCCCCAGACUGGUAAAAUGGCUGUUUUGUGUCCUUUCCCAUCCAUGCAAAAUUCUGGAUAAUCUGUUGCUUAAAGCUUAAAAUUCUAGACUUUAAAAAGGAAGAAAGAGAAAAUUCAACUUUGCUUGAAGACAAUCAGUUGUUCAUUAUUUUGCAUCUGAAGAUAAAUAUCUAAGGCAGUUCUAUUAUUCUAUGUGGUAUUUUAGAUAUAAUAGCAAGGGCAAGUGUCUUUCACUUAAAAAGAAACCGGUAGUAGGCAGUUUGCUAGGAACCUUGUGAAUACUCCUUACUUAAUUCCCAACAACCUUUAAGGUGUUCUUUCCACCCUGCAAUGAGAAAACCGGCUCAGAGAAGUUACAGAGCUGUCGUGGGGCUGAAACCUACUCAAUUCUAUUGAUUUCAAAGCCUGAAAGCCUAAAUAAAGUCUCAUCUUAU